Long non-coding RNA from Stegastes partitus (bicolor damselfish), 443 nucleotides. RefSeq lists it as uncharacterized. The transcript has 3 exons. NCBI's taxonomy places the organism in Eukaryota, Metazoa, Chordata, Actinopteri, Pomacentridae. The record is from RefSeq and is a predicted model, not a curated record.
CUCAGUUUGUGUUUGUUUUUGAUUGGUUUAGACCUGCAAAGCCCCCCCAAGGAAUCGUGCAGUGUUCAUCCUCCUGGCUCUUUUUCGAGAGGUUACAACUCUGUACAGAUCUGCAAACAGAGAUCUUCAUCCAACUGCUGAGCAAUGUCGAGCAUUUGGAGUUCUCAUCCAAGGCUCAAGGUAUCUGCAACGAGAAGAAGUAAGGAAAUUUGCCUCAGCCUUGGUUCAUAACAGGUUGGGGGCACUGACAAUCCUCCCUGGUCAUACUAUUAUGGACAACGCUGUCACUAAGCUGGUCAUCCAUCUAGCAGCUGUGCUGCUCACUGGGACUCACCUCCUGCUGACGCCACUCAAGCAGCUCGGCCUGUCUCCUGAAAAUAUGCAGGCGGCUUUUAUACCGACAAUGCCUGAUGACAUGUUAGCUGUUGCGCAGGCAGUCAUUC